GCCUGGGUGGCUCAGUAGGUUAAGCUUUCGACUUCAGCUCGGGUUAUGAUCUUAUGGUUUGUGGGUUCGAGACCCACAUCAGGCU
Molecule: transfer RNA, 85 nt
Filed under: Felis catus (domestic cat)
Lineage: Eukaryota; Metazoa; Chordata; Mammalia; Carnivora; Felidae
Rfam family: tRNA
About the family: Transfer RNA (tRNA) molecules are approximately 80 nucleotides in length. Their secondary structure includes four short double-helical elements and three loops (D, anti-codon, and T loops).
Source: Rfam by way of RNAcentral